GAAGAAACGAAAGAGUGAUCAAUCUGAAGAUCUAACAAUGAAACAGAAUGAUCUUUAUGCAGAUGUGUCACAGAGAGUUUCAGUUAAUGACGAGUCUCUUUCUGAACAUGAUCCAGUCAAUGAUGCUCUGUAUGCCAGUGUGAAACCCAGCAGAUCCAGAGGAGAAACUCCUGAAUCCGGAGAUACUGAGGAGAUCCAGGACGCAACUGUCCAAUAUCACCGAAAGAAAGAGAGGAACAGACCGGAAGAAGAUGAAUGUCAGUAUGACGAUAUAAGUUAAUCGGCUGCCAUGAGAUUUUCUAGGAAAUCAAAUGUUCAAACUGUGGAAGACUUAUCAGUGAUCUACAGCAAUGUCGGAUGAGAAGUCAGAAGUCAGAAAGAGCUUUAUUGUAUGUAUGACUGCACAGACAAAACCUGCGUCCAUCUGUUUAAUGAUUGACUGUUGGAUUAUUGUAUAAUUGUGGAAACAUUUACUCAUCUGUUUAGACCACCACCACUAUAUGUUCAAAACCCACAUUUUCUUUGAUUCUUCAUAUAUGAGCAGAGGUGUCAAGUCCAGGGGUCAGAAAGUAAAAGUCCUGCCAUAUUUUUGUUCCACCCAUGAACUCAGCAGCUGAUUUCACCAGAGGAGGAACCAAGUCAUUCCUUUCAAGUCACAAACGAGUCUCAAGUCAAAUCCCAAGUCCUCAAAGAGUUAAAGUCAAUGAG
Molecule: long non-coding RNA, 708 nt
Organism: Carassius carassius (crucian carp)
Lineage: Eukaryota; Metazoa; Chordata; Actinopteri; Cypriniformes; Cyprinidae
Exons: 3
Source: RefSeq, a predicted model, not a curated record